RNAcentral lists this long non-coding RNA (652 nucleotides) under Homo sapiens (human). Its description in RNAcentral is "non-protein coding lnc-USP45-2:2". The record is from RNAcentral. Lineage: Eukaryota; Metazoa; Chordata; Mammalia; Primates; Hominidae.
GAAAGCGUUGGAGAGGUGUUACCGGAACGGCGGCGACAAGGGUGUUCCCGAACUAGAGUGGGGCAUACAUAAUCUUGCUGCUAUGCUUCGAAGCUGUAGUCUGAAUCAACCUAAGUUUUAAACAGAAGGUGAACCUCUGAGCAUACAGGAAAGGAUCAAUCUAGAAGGAUUCAUUUAGUAAACAUUUAUUAAAUGCCUGCUAUGAACUAAGCCUUGGGAUACAAAAAUAAAGAAGAAACCAUGCCCUGGUUAUGUGAGUCACUGGUUCUUGAACAGGGUUGUGUAUCAGUGUUGGAAUAAAGUACAAAGAUAUUAGACUUAUAGAAAAUCAAGUAUAUUUUAAAAGAAGGGAUGUGGGAUCAAGGAGGACAGCCUUGGCAGCAGUGGCCCUUGAACCAGCAACAAUGGAUGCAGUCAUUCCAGCACCAACAGGAUCCAAGCCAGAUUGAUUGGGCUGCAUUGGCCCAAGCUUGGAUUGCCCAAAGAGAAGCUUCAGGACAGCAAAGCAUGGUAGAACAACCACCAGGAAUGAUGCCAAAUGGACAAGAUAUGUCUACAAUGGAAUCUGGUCCAAACAAUCAUGGGAAUUUCCAAGGGGAUUCAAACUUCAACAGAAUGUGGCAACCAGAAUGGGGAAUGCAUCAGCAACCCC